Molecule: ribosomal RNA, 465 nt
Filed under: uncultured bacterium
Lineage: Bacteria
Description: partial 16S ribosomal RNA
Rfam family: Bacterial small subunit ribosomal RNA
Source: RNAcentral
GACGAACGCUGGCGGCGUGCUUAACACAUGCAAGUCGAACGGAAAGGCUCCUGCUUGCAGGGGUACUCGAGUGGCGAACGGGUGAGUAACACGUGGGUGAUCUGCCCUGCACUUCGGGAUAAGCCUGGGAAACUGGGUCUAAUACCGGAUAGGACGAUGGUUUGGAUGCCAUUGUGGAAAGUUUUUCGGUGUGGGAUGAGCUCGCGGCCUAUCAGCUUGUUGGUGGGGUAAUGGCCUACCAAGGCGUCGACGGGUAGCCGGCCUGAGAGGGUGUACGGCCACAUUGGGACUGAGAUACGGCCCAGACUCCUACGGGAGGCAGCAGUGGGGAAUAUUGCACAAUGGGCGCAAGCCUGAUGCAGCGACGCCGCGUGGGGGAUGACGGCCUUCGGGUUGUAAACUCCUUUCGCUAGGGACGAAGCGCAAGUGACGGUACCUGGAGAAGAAGCACCGGCUAACUACGUG